RNAcentral lists this ribosomal RNA (440 nucleotides) under uncultured bacterium. Its description in RNAcentral is "partial 16S ribosomal RNA". It matches the Rfam family "Bacterial small subunit ribosomal RNA", at positions 338 to 795 of the family's 1533-position model. The record is from RNAcentral.
CCUACGGGCGGCAGCAGUAGGGAAUAUUGCUCAAUGGGGGAAACCCUGAAGCAGCAACGCCGCGUGGAGGAUGAAGGUUUUCGGAUUGUAAACUCCUUUUGUUAGAGAAGAUAAUGACGGUAUCUAACGAAUAAGCACCGGCUAACUCCGUGCCAGCAGCCGCGGUAAUACGGAGGGUGCAAGCGUUACUCGGAAUCACUGGGCGUAAAGAGCGGGUAGGCGGGAUAGCAAGUCAGAUGUGAAAUCCUAGGGCUUAACCAUAGAACUGCAUUUGAAACUGUUAUUCUAGAGUAUGGGAGAGGUAGGUGGAAUUCUUGGUGUAGGGGUAAAAUCCGUAGAGAUCAAGAGGAAUACUCAUUGCGAAGGCGACCUGCUAGAACAUAACUGACGCUGAUGCGCGAAAGCGUGGGGAGCAAACAGGAUUAGAUACCCUUGUAGUC